UCCAUAUUUUAUUGGUUUUUUUAAAGGUAUCAUAAUUUAGACAUAAAGACAAAACUAAGCACAGUGAAAAAAGUCUACUCUGUCCUGUAAAGUUUGAGAUGUUUUUGUUGUUCAAUCUUUAUCACUUGUAUGGAAACACUAAAUCUUGAUAACCUACAACAGAAAUAUUAUCACUUUUAUUUCAAUUCAAUUGUUGCAGUUAUCAUGCAUGUAAUAGAGAAAAUGAUAAAUUAGACCAGAUCUCCACAUUAAUAAUAUCAAA
This 262-nucleotide long non-coding RNA is filed under the name Mytilus galloprovincialis (Mediterranean mussel). The record is from RNAcentral. Lineage: Eukaryota; Metazoa; Mollusca; Bivalvia; Mytilida; Mytilidae.